GAUGAACGCUGGCGGCGUGCCUAAUACAUGCAAGUCGAGCGAACAGACGAGGAGCUUGCUCCUCUGACGUUAGCGGCGGACGGGUAAGUAACACGUGGAUAACCUACCUAUAAGACUGGGAUAACUUCGGGAAACCGGAGCUAAUACCGGAUAAUAUAUUGAACCGCAUGGUUCAAUAGUGAAAGACGGUUUUGCUGUCACUUAUAGAUGGAUCCGCGCCGCAUUAGCUAGUUGGUAAGGUAACGGCUCACCAAGGCAACGAUGCGUAGCCGACCUGAGAGGGUGAUCGGCCACACUGGAACUGAGACACGGUCCAGACUCCUACGGGAGGCAGCAGUAGGGAAUCUUCCGCAAUGGGCGAAAGCCUGACGGAGCAACGCCGCGUGAGUGAUGAAGGUCUUCGGAUCGUAAAACUCUGUUAUUAGGGAAGAACAAAUGUGUAAGUAACUAUGCACGUCUUGACGGUACCUAAUCAGAAAGCCACGGCUAACUACGUG
This 497-nucleotide ribosomal RNA is filed under the name uncultured bacterium. Its description in RNAcentral is "partial 16S ribosomal RNA". It matches the Rfam family "Bacterial small subunit ribosomal RNA", at positions 28 to 507 of the family's 1533-position model. The record is from RNAcentral.